AGAGUUUGAUCAUGGCUCAGAUUGAACGCCGGCGGCAUGCCUAACACAUGCAAGUCGAACGGCAGCAUGAGGUGUAGCAAUACACCUUGAUGGCGAGUGGCGGACGGGUGAGGAAUGCAUCGGAAUCUGCCCAGUCGUGGGGGAUAACGUAGGGAAACUUACGCUAAUACCGCAUACGACCGUGAGGUGAAAGCGGGGGAUCGAAAGACCUCGCGCGAUUGGAUGAGCCGAUGCCGGAUUAGCUUGUUGGCGGGGUAAUGGCCCACCAAGGCGACGAUCCGUAGCUGGUCUGAGAGGAUGAUCAGCCACACUGGGACUGAGACACGGCCCAGACUCCUACGGGAGGCAGCAGUGGGGAAUAUUGGACAAUGGGGGCAACCCUGAUCCAGCAAUGCCGCGUGUGUGAAGAAGGCCUUCGGGUUGUAAAGCACUUUUAUCGGGGACGAAAUCGGCGAGGCCAAUACCCUUGUCGUCUGACGGUACCCGAGGAAUAAGCACCGGCUAACUCCGUGCCAGCCGCCGCGGUAAUAC
This 531-nucleotide ribosomal RNA is filed under the name uncultured bacterium. RNAcentral's name for it is "bacterial SSU rRNA". It matches the Rfam family "Bacterial small subunit ribosomal RNA", at positions 8 to 526 of the family's 1533-position model. The record is from RNAcentral.